Helianthus annuus (common sunflower) is the source of this 306-nucleotide long non-coding RNA. RefSeq lists it as uncharacterized. NCBI's taxonomy places the organism in Eukaryota, Viridiplantae, Streptophyta, Magnoliopsida, Asterales, Asteraceae. The record is from RefSeq and is a predicted model, not a curated record. The transcript is spliced from 3 exons.
UAACAUACAAACGAAGCAUGUGCACUGUUGUGGAGGCUGUAUGUUCUAGAAUGACUAAAGACAUACUUCAAUGAGAUGAUCUUGCAGCAGAAGAAACAUUACAGAUUCAAAGGUUAAUUCAUAUGUUGCUGGAAAACCUUUCAUCUUUAUUGGAGUCUUUGGUUGGUAUUAAUCAAACAACAAACCACAAGAAGCGUUAUCAAGCUCUAUUGACGAUUUAAUUCCUUCACUUCCUCAAUUACGGGUAUUGGCAGGGUAAUAGCCAUUGGGGCGGCAAUGGUGAUGAAACCGAUGUUCCGGAAACUA